This 1078-nucleotide ribosomal RNA is filed under the name Mycolicibacterium setense. RNAcentral describes it as "bacterial SSU rRNA". It matches the Rfam family "Bacterial small subunit ribosomal RNA", at positions 61 to 1156 of the family's 1533-position model. Lineage: Bacteria; Bacillati; Actinomycetota; Actinomycetes; Mycobacteriales; Mycobacteriaceae. The record is from RNAcentral.
GUCGAACGGAAAGGCCCUUCGGGGUACUCGAGUGGCGAACGGGUGAGUAACACGUGGGUGAUCUGCCCUGCACUUUGGGAUAAGCCUGGGAAACUGGGUCUAAUACCGAAUAUGACCAUGCACUUCCUGGUGUGUGGUGGAAAGCUUUUGCGGUGUGGGAUGGGCCCGCGGCCUAUCAGCUUGUUGGUGGGGUAAUGGCCUACCAAGGCGACGACGGGUAGCCGGCCUGAGAGGGUGACCGGCCACACUGGGACUGAGAUACGGCCCAGACUCCUACGGGAGGCAGCAGUGGGGAAUAUUGCACAAUGGGCGCAAGCCUGAUGCAGCGACGCCGCGUGAGGGAUGACGGCCUUCGGGUUGUAAACCUCUUUCAAUAGGGACGAAGCGCAAGUGACGGUACCUAUAGAAGAAGGACCGGCCAACUACGUGCCAGCAGCCGCGGUAAUACGUAGGGUCCGAGCGUUGUCCGGAAUUACUGGGCGUAAAGAGCUCGUAGGUGGUUUGUCGCGUUGUUCGUGAAAACUCACAGCUUAACUGUGGGCGUGCGGGCGAUACGGGCAGACUAGAGUACUGCAGGGGAGACUGGAAUUCCUGGUGUAGCGGUGGAAUGCGCAGAUAUCAGGAGGAACACCGGUGGCGAAGGCGGGUCUCUGGGCAGUAACUGACGCUGAGGAGCGAAAGCGUGGGGAGCGAACAGGAUUAGAUACCCUGGUAGUCCACGCCGUAAACGGUGGGUACUAGGUGUGGGUUUCCUUCCUUGGGAUCCGUGCCGUAGCUAACGCAUUAAGUACCCCGCCUGGGGAGUACGGCCGCAAGGCUAAAACUCAAAGAAAUUGACGGGGGCCCGCACAAGCGGCGGAGCAUGUGGAUUAAUUCGAUGCAACGCGAAGAACCUUACCUGGGUUUGACAUGCACAGGACGCCGGCAGAGAUGUCGGUUCCCUUGUGGCCUGUGUGCAGGUGGUGCAUGGCUGUCGUCAGCUCGUGUCGUGAGAUGUUGGGUUAAGUCCCGCAACGAGCGCAACCCUUGUCUCAUGUUGCCAGCACGUAAUGGUGGGGACUCGUGAGAGACUGCCGGG